Molecule: long non-coding RNA, 442 nt
Organism: Actinia tenebrosa (Australian red waratah sea anemone)
Lineage: Eukaryota; Metazoa; Cnidaria; Anthozoa; Actiniaria; Actiniidae
Source: RefSeq, a predicted model, not a curated record
GCUAAUUUUGGAAGGAAAAUAUUUCUCAAAGAUAUGGAGAAUUCCUUUGACAGUCUCUACCGUUGGAUUGCCAGAGAAGAACCCAAUCCUCCCCAUCCACUGGGAUGUUUCAUCUGCUUUGGUUACUCUAUCCUCAGUAUCCUCUUUGUCUUCAUCAUUAUUUGUUGCUUCCGAUUCCAAAGAUGGUACAUCUUUUUGCUCUAAAGCAUUGUAUCGAACUUUAAUCUUACUUUCUCAUUAAGAGGCAUUAGUGAACCUAGCCCACAGGUCUUCCAUCUUCCUUUCAGAGCAUUACAURAUUCCUCAUGGAAGCGAAACAUGAAGUACACAUAGUAUUGGAUAGCUAUUUGCAUAUCUAGAGGAUCUAGGGGGCAAUAUUCUCCCCCGUAUUAUAAAUAUGAGGACAUUAUUAAGUGCAAAUUAAAUCCCAAUUUAAUUUCAA